GAAGGCAUUCUCCAUUUUUCUCAGGGUACAGGCCUCAGUUUUACAUGAGAACUACUGAUGUGACAGGUAAGGUGACUCAGAUUAAGAACGAUAAGGAUGAGGAAUCAAAGAUGGUUAUGCCUGGUGAUCGUGUGAAGAUUGUGGUUGAGCUCAUUGUGCCUGUUGCUUGUGAGCAGGGAAUGAGGUUUGCUAUUCGCGAAGGAGGGAAGACUGUUGGAGCCGGGGUUAUUCAAUCUAUCAUUGAGUGAUACAGGC
This 255-nucleotide long non-coding RNA is filed under the name Coffea arabica (coffee). RNAcentral's name for it is "long non-coding RNA (CARA_LNC002808)". The record is from RNAcentral. Lineage: Eukaryota; Viridiplantae; Streptophyta; Magnoliopsida; Gentianales; Rubiaceae.